Molecule: ribosomal RNA, 433 nt
Filed under: uncultured bacterium
Lineage: Bacteria
Description: partial 16S ribosomal RNA
Rfam family: Bacterial small subunit ribosomal RNA
Source: RNAcentral
AGCGAACGCUGGCGGCAGGCCUAACACAUGCAAGUCGAACGAACUCUUCGGAGUUAGUGGCGGACGGGUGAGUAACACGUGGGAACGUGCCUUUAGGUUCGGAAUAACUCAGGGAAACUUGUGCUAAUACCGAAUGUGCCCUUCGGGGGAAAGAUUUAUCGCCUUUAGAGCGGCCCGCGUCUGAUUAGCUAGUUGGUGAGGUAAAGGCUCACCAAGGCGACGAUCAGUAGCUGGUCUGAGAGGAUGAUCAGCCACAUUGGGACUGAGACACGGCCCAAACUCCUACGGGAGGCAGCAGUGGGGAAUCUUGCGCAAUGGGCGAAAGCCUGACGCAGCCAUGCCGCGUGAAUGAUGAAGGUCUUAGGAUUGUAAAAUUCUUUCACCGGGGACGAUAAUGACGGUACCCGGAGAAGAAGCCCCGGCUAACUUCGUA